UCACUGGACUGGCAGAUGGUCUUC
RNAcentral lists this non-coding RNA (24 nucleotides) under Cricetulus griseus (Chinese hamster). Lineage: Eukaryota; Metazoa; Chordata; Mammalia; Rodentia; Cricetidae. The record is from RNAcentral.